RNAcentral lists this transfer RNA (72 nucleotides) under Dasypus novemcinctus (nine-banded armadillo). RNAcentral's name for it is "tRNA-Glu (CTC) (tRNA-Glu-CTC-5-1)". It matches the Rfam family "tRNA". From Rfam's summary of the family: Transfer RNA (tRNA) molecules are approximately 80 nucleotides in length. Their secondary structure includes four short double-helical elements and three loops (D, anti-codon, and T loops). Lineage: Eukaryota; Metazoa; Chordata; Mammalia; Cingulata; Dasypodidae. The record is from RNAcentral.
UCCCUGGUAGUCUAGUGGUUAGGAUUCGGCGCUCUCACCUCCAUGGCUUGGGUUCGAUUCCCAGUCAGGGAA